UGGGGAAUUUUGCGCAAUGGGGGAAACCCUGACGCAGCGACGCCGCGUGUGGGAUGAAGGUCUUCGGAUUGUAAACCACUGUCGCGAGGGACGAAGCUCUGACGGUACCUCGAAAGGAAGCACCGGCUAACUCUGUGCCAGCAGCCGCGGUAAUACAGAGGGUGCGAGCGUUGUCCGGAAUCACUGGGCGUAAAGGGCGCGUAGGCGGCCCGGUAAGUAGGGGGUGAAAUCUCAUGGCUCAACUGUGAGGCUGCCUUCUAGACUGCCAGGCUUGAGCACAGUAGAGGCGAGUGGAAUUCCCGGUGUAGCGGUGGAAUGCGUAGAGAUCGGGAAGAACAUCGGUGGCGAAGGCGGCUCGCUGGGCUGUUGCUGACGCUGAGGCGCGAAAGCGUGGGGAGCAAACAGGAUUAGAUACCCCCGUAGUCCCUGAGCGGGCUGGCAAGGCGCAU
This 449-nucleotide ribosomal RNA is filed under the name uncultured bacterium. RNAcentral's name for it is "bacterial SSU rRNA". It matches the Rfam family "Bacterial small subunit ribosomal RNA", at positions 355 to 825 of the family's 1533-position model. The record is from RNAcentral.